GAUGAACGCUGGCGGCGUGCCUAAUACAUGCAAGUCGAGCGAACAGAUGAGGAGCUUGCUCCUCUGACGUUAGCGGCGGACGGGUGAGUAACACGUGGAUAACCUACCUAUAAGACUGGGAUAACUUCGGGACACCGGAGCUAAUACCGGAUAAUAUAUUGAACCGCAUGGUUCAAUAGUAAAAGAAGGUUUUGCUGUCACUUUUAGAUGGAUCCGCGCCGCAUUAGCUAGUUGGUAAGGUAACGGCUUACCAAGGCAACGAUGCGUAGCCGACCUGAGAGGGUGAUCGGCCACACUGGAACUGAGACACGGUCCAGACUCCUACGGGAGGCAGCAGUAGGGAAUCUUCCGCAAUGGGCGAAAGCCUGACGGAGCAACGCCGCGUGAGUGAUGAAGGUCUUCGGAUCGUAAAACUCUGUUAUUAGGGAAGAACAAAUGUGUAAGUAACUAUGCACGUCUUGACGGUACCUAAUCAGAAAGCCACGGCUAACUACGUG
RNAcentral lists this ribosomal RNA (497 nucleotides) under uncultured bacterium. RNAcentral's name for it is "partial 16S ribosomal RNA". It matches the Rfam family "Bacterial small subunit ribosomal RNA", at positions 28 to 507 of the family's 1533-position model. The record is from RNAcentral.